AUUGAACGCUGGCGGAAUGCUUUACACAUGCAAGUCGAACGGCAGCACGGGGGCAGCCCUGGUGGCGAGUGGCGAACGGGUGAGUAAUACAUCGGAACGUGCCCGGUCGUGGGGGAUAACGUAGCGAAAGUUACGCUAAUACCGCAUACGAUCUGAGGAUGAAAGCGGGGGACCUUCGGGCCUCGCGCGAUCGGAGCGGCCGAUGUCAGAUUAGGUAGUUGGUGGGGUAAAGGCCUACCAAGCCGACGAUCUGUAGCUGGUCUGAGAGGACGGCCAGCCACACUGGAACUGAGACACGGCCCAGACUCCUACGGGAGGCAGCAGUGGGGAAUUUUGGACAAUGGGCGCAAGCCUGAUCCAGCCAUUCCGCGUGCAGGACGAAGGCCUUCGGGUUGUAAACUGCUUUUGUACGGAACGAAAAGGCUCUGGCUAAUACCUGGGGCUCAUGACGGUACCGUAAGAAUAAGCACCGGCUAACUACGUG
This 484-nucleotide ribosomal RNA is filed under the name uncultured bacterium. RNAcentral describes it as "partial 16S ribosomal RNA". It matches the Rfam family "Bacterial small subunit ribosomal RNA", at positions 30 to 507 of the family's 1533-position model. The record is from RNAcentral.